GGCUGGGUCUGGCAUUGGUGCUGGGACACCAAAGCCCAGCACGGGGAUUUCUGCAGCUGGGAACAGAGUGUGUCUCUGUUCGGGCACUUUGUGGAGUACUAUAUCAUAAAAUCCUGUAGGAAAAACCUGGCACAGGGAAAAAGCAUGCACUUUUUUGGGUGAAAGGAGAGAUGAAUGCUGAUUUUCCAGCUGCUGCAAGGCCUUUGUGUAGUAACCAUGGCAACCAGGCUUCAAAGACAAAAGGGUUAGGGUACAGGUUUCCCAACUUUUUCAUCAGCAGAGACAGAGUCCUCCCAGUGCCGUCGUUUCAACACCAUCCCUCCAACACUCUCUCUCCAAUACUGUCCUUCCAACUCCAUCCUUCCAACACUGUCUGUGCAACAUUGUCCUUACACCAUCCUUCCAAUGCCAUCCUUCUAGCAUCUGAAGGAGCCUACAGGAAAGCUGGGGAGGGACUUUUGAUAAGGAUGGGUACUGGCAGGAUGAGGGGAAAUCGUUUUAAACUGGAAGAGGGCAGAUUUAGACUAGAUAUUAGGAAGAAACUGUUUACUGUGAGGGUGGUGAGACACUCGAACAGGUUGCUCGGCGAGGUUAUAGCAUGCCUCCCUGGAAGCACUCAAGCAACCUGGGCUAUGGGAGGUGUCCCUGCCUGUAGCAGGGGUUGGAACUGGGUGAUCUUAAAGGUCCAUUCCCACCCAAACCAUUCUGUGACUCCAUUCUAUGAUCCUUCCAAUGCUGUCCUUCCAACACCAUCCUCACAAUGCCAUCCUUCCAGUGCCAUUCUUCCAAUUCUGUUCCCAUGCGAUGAGGCUGCAGGAGCAGUGAGAGCCCAUGCAGCCCCAACCUGCUGGAGGCUGCCUUUCCAGCCUUGUCUGGUGCAGAGCCCUGGGUGCUCAGCCUGUACUUGCAGCAGUCUGGUGUUCCUGCUGUAUUCGCGUGCUCUUGCAGUGCUUGAAAUGUUGCACAUUUCCCUCUGCACUGCUGCUCUCACAGAAGCUCCAGCAGCUUCUACAAAUCCUUCCCAAAAUUGUAAGAUUGAGCCUGUUUUCUUGGAGGGCAAAAGUGGAAGCUCGGGAUCUCUG
Molecule: long non-coding RNA, 1082 nt
Filed under: Phasianus colchicus (ring-necked pheasant)
Lineage: Eukaryota; Metazoa; Chordata; Aves; Galliformes; Phasianidae
Description: lncRNA (ENSPCLG00000012020.1)
Source: RNAcentral